AGUCAUUUGUGGCAGGGAGGCUGUUCACAUUACAGGAGGAAAUUUGAGUAACUUCUAGACUAAGCAAGUAACAUACAACUUGAAAUUUUGAUCCCUGUUUGCAAUGUUGGCAAAAAAUACUAACAAUCACCCCUUCCAUGCCAUAAAUUUAAAGCCCACUUUGGCAAACUAAUGAGAGUUGCUGUAAUGACUAAAUUAGACAUGCAUGUAAAAUGCCAAACAAUUAAAAGAAAAUAAAUAAGUACCCAAAACAAAUACUAGUAACACUGAAUGUUAAAAUUAAAAAUAUUUUUAACAAACUUAAAGCACUUGAAUCGCAU
Molecule: non-coding RNA, 320 nt
Organism: Pelobates cultripes (western spadefoot toad)
Lineage: Eukaryota; Metazoa; Chordata; Amphibia; Anura; Pelobatidae
Source: the annotation of a GenBank genome assembly